This 800-nucleotide ribosomal RNA is filed under the name Bacillus sp. OH3. RNAcentral describes it as "bacterial SSU rRNA". It matches the Rfam family "Bacterial small subunit ribosomal RNA", at positions 553 to 1353 of the family's 1533-position model. Lineage: Bacteria; Bacillati; Bacillota; Bacilli; Caryophanales; Bacillaceae. The record is from RNAcentral.
AUUGGGCGUAAAGCGCGCGCAGGCGGUUUCUUAAGUCUGAUGUGAAAGCCCCCGGCUCAACCGGGGAGGGUCAUUGGAAACUGGGAAACUUGAGUGCAGAAGAGGAAAGUGGAAUUCCAAGUGUAGCGGUGAAAUGCGUAGAGAUUUGGAGGAACACCAGUGGCGAAGGCGACUUUCUGGUCUGUAACUGACGCUGAGGCGCGAAAGCGUGGGGAGCAAACAGGAUUAGAUACCCUGGUAGUCCACGCUGUAAACGAUGAGUGCUAAGUGUUAGAGGGUUUCCGCCCUUUAGUGCUGAAGUUAACGCAUUAAGCACUCCGCCUGGGGAGUACGGUCGCAAGACUGAAACUCAAAGGAAUUGACGGGGGCCCGCACAAGUGGUGGAGCAUGUGGUUUAAUUCGAAGCAACGCGAAGAACCUUACCAGGUCUUGACAUCCUCUGACAACCCUAGAGAUAGGGCUUUCCCUUCGGGGACAGAGUGACAGGUGGUGCAUGGUUGUCGUCAGCUCGUGUCGUGAGAUGUUGGGUUAAGUCCCGCAACGAGCGCAACCCUUGAUCUUAGUUGCCAGCAUUCAGUUGGGCACUCUAAGGUGACUGCCGGUGACAAACCGGAGGAAGGUGGGGAUGACGUCAAAUCAUCAUGCCCCUUAUGACCUGGGCUACACACGUGCUACAAUGGAUAGUACAAAGGGUUGCAAGACCGCGAGGUGGAGCUAAUCCCAUAAAACUAUUCUCAGUUCGGAUUGUAGGCUGCAACUCGCCUACAUGAAGCCGGAAUCACUAGUAAUCGCGGAUCAGC